This 253-nucleotide ribosomal RNA is filed under the name uncultured bacterium. Its description in RNAcentral is "partial 16S ribosomal RNA". It matches the Rfam family "Bacterial small subunit ribosomal RNA", at positions 524 to 776 of the family's 1533-position model. The record is from RNAcentral.
AACGUAGGUGGCAAGCGUUAUCCGGAUUUACUGGGCGUAAAGGGUGUGCAGGCGGGGGUGCAAGUGGGGGAUGAAAUCUCCCGGCUUAACCGGGAGGGGUUAUGCCAGACUGCAAUUCUAGAGGACGAGAGAGGGGGGUGGAAUUCCGGGUGUAGUGGUGAAAUGCGUAGAGAUCCGGAGGAACCCCAGAGGCGAAGGCGGCCCCCUGGCUCGUACCUGACGCUCAGCCACGAAAGCAUGGGGAGCGAACGGG